Long non-coding RNA from Athalia rosae (coleseed sawfly), 1601 nucleotides. RefSeq lists it as uncharacterized. The record is from RefSeq and is a predicted model, not a curated record. The transcript has 3 exons. Lineage: Eukaryota; Metazoa; Arthropoda; Insecta; Hymenoptera; Athaliidae.
AGCAUAUGUUGUAAGCGAUCGUGCUGCUACCAAACGCGUGGCAGAUGGGUUCAUGAGAUUUAAAAUCUCAUACGUUCGUUAUCAUGGAACAUAUUAUGUAUAUUUGCAGACCUUGCCCAGACUUCGACCAGACAUAAGACCAGACAUGCAUUGAGUAAUGGCAAGAUUCUAUAAGGCCAUAACGCGACUUUUAACACCAGAAUUUAGCUAACGAUAAGUAUCUCUUUUGGCUCUUUGGAGACACGACUGAACGACUAUGAUCCAUCUGAAGAACUGACUACUUAGAUAUUCUAUUUUAAACCUGAAAUCGAAAAAAUCUGGCUGGAUCAUUGUCAAUUAACAGAGGUCUACAAAAAACAUCGCAGGUACGGAAAAAUCUUCAUAAAAUCGCCAAAAAUAGAAGCCCUCCCGUUUCGUAUUUGUGGACUUUUCUAAUUCUCGUACGGAAAUUGCCGGAGAAUGGAAUAUUCGUAAUAUUGCAUUAAUCUGGUAGCGUGGCGGACCCAUUCGACAAAAAAGGACUUAAAUUGAAGGCAGCAAGACAUACUGCUGGAAACGUCUAUUCGGAUACCAAAUCGAACCUUUAAAGAAGUCUAGGAUCCUGUACCCAAUGCAGGUAACUGCUCUUCCGUUAAUGAGAAAGCUUUUCUAAUUAUGAAAAGGAACGUUCAAUUUGAUCGCCGUCGUCCGAUGCUCUCAACAAACGAGACCGCGUCUUUAAACCGACGAAUAUUUUAAUCAGCGUAUCACGUCGUGACACGAACCUCAUUCACGAAUGAUGCAAAAAUUUAAACAUGAAUUAACGCCCACCGGAUGUUCAUAAUUCCUUCAGAUAAUUUCGACCGCUAUUAUGAUUGUAGUAUCUUAUUCAGGAUUCAUUACGACUACGGCCAUGCAGCAGCAUUAAUGAAAACGAUAGUCUCUAAAGCUCAGGCUGUUUCCCCGCAAAAAGAUUGCACGUUCAUAUCCUUUGCGUCGUCAACUUUUCAUUCUCCAAUUGACUCAACUCAAUUGAGAGUAUACGAGACAUAAGAUCUUAUCUACAAUGGCUCAAGUGGUACAAAUAUUUUUUCGCGAAAGUCUGCCUUGUAGUCUAAAAAAACGAUUACAAAAAACAUGAAAAAAAUAAAACAAAUCAAGUUAUGUAUGCAUUAACGUCCAUGAAAUAAAUUAUCCCAAGGAUUGAGACCGAGUAAAAAGAAAAGGAUUCGAAAAGAAGAAACAUAAAAUCUUCCGCCGCUUCUUUGGCGAACCGAUGCAUGAAUCUUCAUCAUUGACAAGACGCACGACACUCCUACAAAUUUCAGUACAUAAAUAUGACCCUGAAACGACAACAAUAAACGUAUAAAAACCGACUCUACAAUCGAACUAAACUUCUCGUUAUGUAUACAUGGCAGACAACACGAAUAUAUAUAUUCAUAUUACAAUGCAUACAUACUGAACAAAAAAAUAAGGAAUGCUAUAUAAUGCGCGCAUAUCAGAGCGCCAUUUAAAGAUAUUACAUACAUAUACUUUCUGUUCGUGUUAAGAUUACCAAAUUGUUUUCGUCGAUUAUAGGAUGACCUUAAAUGGUCCUAUAUACAUAUAGAUAAAUCGGGUCA